CAAGGCUGCUGUGUGUGACCUGUAGUGGGUCUGCAGCAGAAGACCCACUGUGUGUGGCUUUUGUUUAGCCUUAAAAUGGGUAGAAUGCUGUGGGGUUAUGAAAUAACCACAUGUGCCUAAACCCUGCCUGUGCUGAGCAUUGGUUUCUUUAGCUUCCUUUUCCUGCUGUACCUUCCAAGCUUGUGUUACCAGUGCAACAGAGCCCUUCGGACCAGGCUCUGAGGUGUGUCUGGGUACACAAGUGAGCGAUGUGUGCAUUUCCCUUUGCAGAGGAAGCUGCAGGACCUGGCUGACGGGAGGAGGGCUCCUGCAGGACCCGAGGUGAGCAGCAGUGGGUGCCGUUGAACAGCCCCAUGCCCCAGCUCGUGUUGCAGACGCGGCUGUAGUGCCUUGUUUGUGUCAUUAGGUGGCAGAGAGGAAGAGGCUGUGUCUGUGCUGGGGCUCUGGAACCUGUGAGCACCCAGGAAUGAUGAGCAGCCUGACACUUGGUUCCUGGUUUUCCUGUGGUUUUUCCUUGAAUGUUAAGUGUUUCAAUGGUGAAUAAUGGACAACUCUGGAGGGACAGGGUGCAGAAGGGCUGCCCUCCACUGUGACACUAAUUCUCUUCAUGACAAUAUAAUCUUACGUGACAGAUAAGGGUACCUUUUAUACUGUCAGAUUCUGUGCUUUAGAAGUGAACCUGUUUUACUAACCUGCUCUGUUAAAAUCUAAUUCAGGUUUGUUGUAUAUCAUUUAUUGUUAGGAAUAGCAGACUCCAGUAUUCUCUAAUAGCCCUGAGUCCUUGGAGGUUUGCUUUCCUGACAUGUUGGUAUCAUUAGGAGUCAGAGGUGAAGAGCUUUCCUGUGCCAGAAGCUUGUAACUACUCAGCUCAGUAGCUUGACAUUGCUGCUGCAUUUACCUCUUUCUCCAGAGAACCAGCAGAAUAUGGAGCAAAAUUCCUUAGAAAAGCAGUUUAAAUGAUGCCAAUUUUAACUGCAUCAGGGGAAGGUCCUUUUGGGUUUUGCAAGGACAAGCAGAAGUGACAGCUGCUGUCUUGAAUUCUCUUUUUGCUUUCAGCAGCUCCUUAUGGCCUGCAAGACACUCUUGCUUGCUGUCUGUUCUGGUGGUGAAAAGACACCUGGAGUUCAGCAGGGUUUAUUUAGUGUUAUGUAGAUACCAAGAAUCACACCUGGGCGUGGAAGGGAUGGGGGAAACAGGCUUUUGAGUUUGGUGUUUUCAAAGGAUUGAUGUAGAUAGAAAACCAGUUUGGUGUGGAUUUAGCAGGUGCUGGAAACCAUGCCUUGCUCCUAAUGUUAACUCACCAGCUCCUCACUCCUUCCUCAAAACCCAAACUAAAGGUGUUUUUCCUCCUCACAGUUACAGCUGAGAGCAGGGCUGACUUCUGGAACUUGCUUCAACUGCUGCAGAUCAUGCCUUGAGGUUUGGAACUCCAGCAGACCCAGCUGCAGGAGAACUGGGCCGUGGUGUCUGCAGUGAGGAUCUGUAGGGUGCUGAAACUUCAUCUUCUCAACGUGGGUUCAAGCUCACAGCAGCCAAAGUGUGCGGUGAUGCUGCUGGUUCCGAGUGCUGCCUGCAACCUGCAUGCUCGGAUGUUGAAGAGAAAUGAUUGUUCUGUUCCCAGUGUCCUUCCUUGCCUUUGCUGUGCUGCUGGUGACUAGCUCCCAGAGCUGUAACCUUGUCCCUCUCCCACUCAUCUCUCUCCUGAGCUGUUUCCACAUUCUGAAGCACUCUGCUUUCAGUCUGUGUUUUCCCUGCAUGGUAAGAAGGGUUAUAAAAAACCCCAAACAACUAAAUAAAGAUGCCACCUCCAGUGA
This is a long non-coding RNA of Pezoporus occidentalis (night parrot), 1814 nucleotides long. RefSeq lists it as uncharacterized. NCBI's taxonomy places the organism in Eukaryota, Metazoa, Chordata, Aves, Psittaciformes, Psittacidae. The transcript has 2 exons. The record is from RefSeq and is a predicted model, not a curated record.